Molecule: long non-coding RNA, 1480 nt
Filed under: Salmo salar (Atlantic salmon)
Lineage: Eukaryota; Metazoa; Chordata; Actinopteri; Salmoniformes; Salmonidae
Description: lncRNA (ENSSSAG00000120242.1)
Source: RNAcentral
UUGAGGUGUUGGGAACACUGGGUCUGUAGUCUGUGUUGAGGUGUGGGGAACACUGGGUCUGUCUUACUGUGUUGAGGUGUGGGGAACACUGGGUCUGUAGUCUAUCUUACUGUGUUGAGGUGUGGGGAACACUGGGUCUGUAGUCUGUCUUACUGUGUUGAGGUGUGGGGAACACUGGGUCUGUCUUACUGUGUUGAGGUGUGGGGAACACUGGGUCUGUCUUACUGUGUUGAGGUGUGGGGAACACUGGGUCUGUCUUACUGUGUUGAGGUGUGGGGAACACUGGGUCUGUAGUCUAUCUUACUGUGUUCAGGUGUGGGGAACACUGGGUCUGUAGUCUGUCUUACUGUGUUGAGGUGUGGGGAACACUGGGUCUGUCUUACUGUGUUGAGGUGUGGGGAACACUGGGUCUGUAGUCUAUCUUACUGUGUUCAGGUGUGGGGAACACUGGGUCUGUAGUCUGUCUUACUGUGUUGAGGUGUGGGGAACACUGGGUCUGUCUUACUGUGUUGAGGUUUGGGGAACACUUGGUCUGUAGUCUAUCUUACUGUGUUCAGGUGUGGGGAACACUGGGUCUGUAGUCUGUCUUACUGUGUUGAGGUGUGGGGAACACUGGGUCUGUAGUCUAUCUUACUGUGUUGAGGUGUGGGGAACACUGGGUCUGUAGUCUAUCUUACUGUGUUGAGGUGUGGGGAACACUGGGUCUGUAGUCUGUCUUACUGUGUUGAGGUGUGGGGAACACUGGGUCUGUAGUCUAUCUUACUGUGUUGAGGUGUGGGGAACACUGGGUCUGUAGUCUGUGUUGAGGUGUGGGGAACACUGGGUCUGUAGUCUGUGUUGAGGUGUGGGGAACACUGGGUCUGUAGUCUGUGUUGAGGUGUGGGGAACACUGGGUCUGUAGUCUGUUUUGAGGUUUGGGGAACACCGGGUCUGUAGUCUGUCUUACUGUGUUGAGGUGUGGGGAAAACUGGGUCUGUAGUCUGUCUUACUGUGUUGAGGUGUGGGGAACACUGGGUCUGUCUUACUGUGUUGAGGUGUGGGGAACACUGGGUCUGUCUUACUGUGUUGAGCUGUGGGGAACACUGGGUCUGUCUUACUGUGUUGAGGUGUGGGGAACACUGGGUCUGUAGUCUGUCUUACUGUGUUGAGGUGUGGGGAACACUGGGUCUGUAGUCUGUCUUACUGUGUUGAGGUGUGGGGAACACUGGGUCUGUAGUCUGUGUUGAGGUGUGGGGAACACUGGGUCUGUCUUACUGUGUUGAGGUGUGGGGAACACUGGGUCUGUAGUCUGUCUUACUGUGUUGAGGUGUGGGGAACACUGGGUCUGUCUUACUGUGUUGAGGUGUGGGGAACACUGGGUCUGUAGUCUAUCUUACUGUGUUGAGGUGUGGGGAACACUGGGUCUGUAGUCUGUCUUACUGUGUUGAGGUGUGGGGAACACUGGGUCUGUAGUCUGUGUUGAGGUGUGGGGAACACUGGG